AUAAUUCUUUAGUUCAUAAGCGUGAUGAUUGGGUGUUCACGCUAUUGCGUGAGAUGUGCUUCCCUCUAAACUUUGUUAUGACAUCGAUACAUUACCUGACUGACA
This is a non-coding RNA of Ictidomys tridecemlineatus (thirteen-lined ground squirrel), 105 nucleotides long. The record is from Rfam. Lineage: Eukaryota; Metazoa; Chordata; Mammalia; Rodentia; Sciuridae.